GGGCGGCUAGCUCAGCGGGAGAGCACUCCCUUCACACGGGAGGGGUCACAGGUUCAAUCCCUGUGCCGCCCA
Transfer RNA from Methylosinus sp. 3S-1, 72 nucleotides. It matches the Rfam family "tRNA". From Rfam's summary of the family: Transfer RNA (tRNA) molecules are approximately 80 nucleotides in length. The record is from Rfam. Lineage: Bacteria; Pseudomonadati; Pseudomonadota; Alphaproteobacteria; Hyphomicrobiales; Methylocystaceae.